CUUGAGGGUGUGACGUAGUACAGAAUCAUUCCGAGAGAUUUUCUGUUUUUGGUCAUUCGAUGUUUACUCAAACAGUUCAUCUCGUUAGUUGUUGCUUCGAUUUAGAGUCUGUGAUCGUGUGGUGUUUUCCAUGAUGUCGGAAUUGAGGAUCUUGUGGGCUAGAUUCCGUCGACGCUAGCUGGUUGAAGUGAUGUUUGUCGAACCGUGUUUUGGUGUGUGGGAUAAAGAUGGCCUAUGAAGAAGUGUUCUUUUCGCUCCGUCUUGUGCACUGGACGGAUUAGGCUACUACGUGACGAAGGCAGUGCUCGACUGCUACUCAGGACGACUGGAAUAUUCAACUUUCCAGUCUUGGAUUUCUCGACUGAAACAAAAAGCUGAGGUUGAUUUUAUUGGAAACAAGGUAUCCAGGGUUGUGCAAAUGGAAACUUUAAAUUUUGUUUUCAAAUCUACUUUAGCCUUUCAAUGUGGAGAGAGAGUCGAGGAAAUUCAACUUCAUUUCACGCUCGAUUUUAUGGUAUCGACGAACCUGGGUUUUGUUAGUGGUUUCAAAGCUGAAAUUUUUGUAUCCUAAUGUCAAUAUGGUUUUAACAACCAGAAAAUGUACCGCAUUGAUGUUGUCCACUUAUAAUACAUCCCAAUAAAAAUUUUGGCAAAGAA
Molecule: long non-coding RNA, 657 nt
Organism: Macrobrachium nipponense
Lineage: Eukaryota; Metazoa; Arthropoda; Malacostraca; Decapoda; Palaemonidae
Exons: 3
Source: RefSeq, a predicted model, not a curated record